AAAAAAAAAAAAAAAAAAACCACCACCAACCUCAACCCCCUAAUCUUCUGUUUUAGCAAUUGACAGCUGCCAGGAAUAUAAAAGCAGCAUCACAGUUUCUGUUCAAUGAAAGAACCGAGGCAGCUGUGUGUAACAUGCCGCAAGUGGGACACGUUCCUCAGUGUAGAGCAGCCCAUAAUCACAUUAUGCAACAUCCGCUUACACUGCUCAAGUGCUUCGCAUAGGAGAGGGCCUGGAAAACCAGCGGCACAGGAGGCAGCAGUGGGAAGGCCCCUUUUAGGUACUUGGAAGCUGUUCUAAGGUCUCCCUGGAGCUUCUGUUUUCUAACCUGAACAACUCGAGCUCUCUCAGCCUAUCUUCAUUGGAAAGGUGCUCCGGCCCUCUCAUCAUCUUCAUGGACUUCCUCUGGACUUGCUCCCACAGAAAUCCUUCUCCAGGAUGGUGUUUUCUUUCUGCCUGUAUGAUAUUGCCUCAAGAGAGAUGCAGCACAGCUGGUGAAUGAAUACAUGUGCUUUUUGA
This is a long non-coding RNA of Vidua macroura (Pin-tailed whydah), 519 nucleotides long. RefSeq lists it as uncharacterized. The transcript has 3 exons. Lineage: Eukaryota; Metazoa; Chordata; Aves; Passeriformes; Viduidae. The record is from RefSeq and is a predicted model, not a curated record.